UACGUAGGUGGCGAGCGUUGUCCGGAAUCAUUGGGCGUAAAGGGAGCGCAGGCGGGAGAUCAGGUCUUGCUUAAAAGUUCGGGGCUCAACCCCGUGAUGGGCAAGAAACCGGUCUUCUUGAGUGCAGGAGAGGAAAGCGGAAUUCCUAGUGUAGCGGUGAAAUGCGUAGAUAUUAGGAGGAACACCAGUGGCGAAGGCGGCUUUCUGGACUGUAACUGACGCUGAGGCUCGAAAGCGUGGGGAGC
This 245-nucleotide ribosomal RNA is filed under the name uncultured Selenomonas sp. RNAcentral's name for it is "partial 16S ribosomal RNA". It matches the Rfam family "Bacterial small subunit ribosomal RNA", at positions 524 to 769 of the family's 1533-position model. Lineage: Bacteria; Bacillati; Bacillota; Negativicutes; Selenomonadales; Selenomonadaceae. The record is from RNAcentral.